GAUGAACGCUAGCUACAGGCUUAACACAUGCAAGUCGAGGGGCAGCAUGAUUGAAGCUUGCUUCAAUCGAUGGCGACCGGCGCACGGGUGAGUAACACGUAUCCAACCUGCCGAUAACUCGGGGAUAGCCUUUCGAAAGAAAGAUUAAUACCCGAUAGUAUAGUAUUUCCGCAUGGUUUCACUAUUAAAGAACUUCGGUUAUCGAUGGGGAUGCGUUCCAUUAGAUAGUUGGCGGGGUAACGGCCCACCAAGUCAACGAUGGAUAGGGGUUCUGAGAGGAAGGUCCCCCACAUUGGAACUGAGACACGGUCCAAACUCCUACGGGAGGCAGCAGUGAGGAAUAUUGGUCAAGGGACGAGAGUCUGAACCAGCCAAGUAGCGUGAAGGAUGACUGCCCUAUGGGUUGUAAACUUCUUUUAUACGGGAAUAAAGUGGAGUAUGCAUACUCCUUUGUAUGUACCGUAUGAAUAAGGAUCGGCUAACUCCGUG
This 489-nucleotide ribosomal RNA is filed under the name uncultured bacterium. RNAcentral describes it as "partial 16S ribosomal RNA". It matches the Rfam family "Bacterial small subunit ribosomal RNA", at positions 28 to 507 of the family's 1533-position model. The record is from RNAcentral.